Pseudopipra pipra is the source of this 15832-nucleotide long non-coding RNA. RefSeq lists it as uncharacterized. The transcript is spliced from 3 exons. The record is from RefSeq and is a predicted model, not a curated record. NCBI's taxonomy places the organism in Eukaryota, Metazoa, Chordata, Aves, Passeriformes, Pipridae.
UGGGGCCCGAACGCGGCAGUUUUCUUAGGAAAGGGUGUUCUCUGACAUUUGGUCUUUGUAUCCUCUCAAGGCUAAUCAACAGGAGGGGAGGUUUAAUCCGUGAAACAGACAACAAACAGGCAAGCGAGAUCUAAGCGAUGUCCAGGUGUCAGACAAAUUACUUGUGGGCAGAAUUGCCUCGUUAAGGUUCAGGGGCUCCACAUGUUCCAGUGAUCUCGGACCUAGGGGGGAGGUUAACAAAGCUUGGGAAGGAGGAUGCCCACUGAUAGCAGACACAAAGAACGCAGAAUUCACAGGCCACCGGGACAUUUGGCAGAACUGCCAAGAUAGGGAAGAAACUGAUAAAGCCAGCUCAGCAACUGUGCUGAGUCAGAUCCAGCUGGGUAACAGGUAAUUCUGGCAGGGGAGAUGGUGACCACCAACUCACAGACCACUGACCCAAGAAAGCACCAACCCAAAAGAAAAGAAAGACCAAGCAUGAGGAUUAAUUAGCACAAGAAGAGAAAGGAUCAUUAACCAAUGGAAAAUAGAAUACUAAUUAAUAAGAGAACCAGGUAACUUGUAGCCAAUGAACACUGAUGCUUUUGCUUGCUAAAAUGUAUAAACAGGGAAAAGUUUUGGUAGUCAUCAUACUGGCUUUGUGGAUUUACCAUCCAGCACCCCUUUCUGCCCAGAACUGUAAAUAAAUCAAAUACCUCCACUCUGUGUGCAGAUUGGCCUCUUGCACACUGGGUGAAAGAACUUAUUUGGGACAAUACCUCCACACCACCAGGCUGCUUGCUCCCAUUGCCAAAGCUCUCUCUAACAACAGCUGCCCUGCAGGCUGGUGUGACCCCAAAGAAGGGCCAGGGUGGAUCACCUGGCUGCCUCCUGCUCCAGAUCUCUUCCUCAGCCCUCCCUGUCUUGCUCAGGCUGCAGGCUGGCAGGGCAGAAGCCCACCUUACCAUGGUGGGGACUAAAAGGGCUAAACCCACACAAAAAGUCUAAGAACAACUCUCCAGCGUCUGUCCAUCCACAUUCCCCUCAUUAAACCUCCUGUCAAUACAGCCCUGCUGAGACAGCAGCUUUCAGAGCUGGUGCAUUUUCUGGCUGUGCUUCAAAUCCUGGUUGAAAGCAAUUAAAGCUGCUGGUGUGGCUCUGAGCUCCCAAGGUCCAGCCCUUGUUUAGUAGGUCAAGGCUGGCAGGACAACGCCAAGAGCAUGUCCAGGCAGCACGUCCGUGCCUAGGAGUUGUGUACAGACAGCCUAGUCAGGAUGCAGUACAGGAUUACACCUAAGGAACCAAGAGAAAUAGUCUCACCUAUGCACUGGCGAAGAUGAGCAUGUAUUCUUCUGUCUAAGCUUAGGUUGUUCAAAUCCCGUAGAACUCCGAGGAAAAUAAAUGUGGAAAGAAAAAUCCCUUGUGCCUGUUUCUUCCACCUUGUUCUAUCCAUCAAGUUUGUCCCUGGUUUAAUGGUAUCAGAUGGUAGGACUGGACAAAACUUGCGUGAGGAUCCAUGAUCAUUUCAUGCUUCCCUUCUUUUUAAAAAAGGAGCAAUGAUAUAUAUUUUGCCUUCAGCAAGGCUUUCUUUGCAGAUAUAAUCAUUAAAAAAAGAAGGAUACGUGACCUACAGUGCAGAAGAAACUUUGUCCUCAGAGAGCAGUAUCAGUGGUUCACUGUCAAAUUGAAAAGAUAUUUUCCAUGAUGAUCUGUCUUGGGUGACUUGAACACUUUCAUAAAUAAUCUGGAUGAUGGAAAAGAACAUGCUUACUAAUUCUUCAGAUGACAAAAGCUUUAAGGAAGUUUGAAGACAGAGAUAGAACAAACAUGAUUUUGACAAAGCAGAAGAGCAAACAGUUUUAAAAACAUAACCCAGUUUGUCAUCUAGUGAAGAAAAACGCAGUGGCCUACACCUAGUAAAGGUAAGCAUGUGCAUGAAACAGGGAAGGGCAAGGCAGUGGCUCACCAAAGCUUCUGGAAUGCUUGUAAGGAAUCAUGAAAUUAAUGUGUCAAAGUUAUCAUACUACAAAAAGACUUAAAAUGCAGUAUCUGUAAGAAAUCCCUAUGGAGUAACAAUAACAGCAAACGCAGCAGUCCUUAGACCUUGGCUGAAAUACUACAUUUACAAAGCUACAGGCCAACUGGAGAGAGACAAGAGUGUCAAAAGAAUAGAAAACAUGACAUGAUGUAUUUGUCAUAAUUCUUUCAACCACCCUGCACACAGAGGAGAAGAUUGAAUGAAAACAUAACUUGCUGUCACAUACACGGAGGACUUUCCAAAACUAGGAAGGAAUCAUCUAAGUAUUAUAUCCCUAAAGGAAGGGGGGAAAAUAAUGACUUAAGAUGUCAGUAACAAGAGUUAGAGUGAACAUCAGAAGGGGUGGAUGCUCUUUAACAGAAGCCACCACAAAGCACUAGUGAGAUUGCCUGGGGAAGCUGAGGAGUCACCAUUAUCUGGUAAGAUGCUGGUAAGAACAAGUUGGGCAAAUUCCUACCAGGAAUGACAUACCUGUAGCUGGACGAGGUGGUGGGACUAGACCCACUGAGCCUCCUGUUCCCUGGCAAGGGUGAGAGUGAGGAUGUUGCUGAGUCAGCCCUCCCCAAGUCACAUCAAGCAUCCACUCAGUGUUUUGCUCCCCUCUGCUUGCAGGAACAGAAACACCCAGUCAGUUUUAUGAGGUUGACCAGUCCUCCGAACAGCACUGCUUAAAAUAUCUCCCUCCCUCCCAAGGCUAUAAACAAUCUCAGCAUAGGAAAUGCAGAACUGGAGUUAAGUCUCUGACUGGCCCCAGGAAAUACAAAAUUAUAUACUCUGACUUGAGGAAUUUGUGUGAAUCCAGUCAAAACUUUCUGAAGUGGAUGCCUCAGAUCAGGCCAUUAAGUCCCUACACAGAAGCCUAAAUCAGUGGCCUCAUUUUCAAACACACACUUAGCACUCAGCAGCUCCUGUAGCAUCUAAGAGAAGACGGUGAUUGCUUGUCACAUCUGAGAACUUGUGCCACUUUGGCUCUAAAGUGUGGACCUGAAAGCACUUUUCUAUGCAAUUUUUCACAGUCCUAAUCCUGGUGUUUUGUGAACACUUUCCCUAGAUUUUUUUUUUCCUAGGCCAUUAUUUUCUUUGUAAUGCAAAAAUAAAUAUUUCACAUUAAAGCAACUCCAAAGCUCUAACUUCGGAAAUCUUCAAUGGGUGCAGAACUUCAGGCUGAGAACUACAGCACACCGAAGAUUUUACCAUAUCAAACACAGUUUGCACUCCCACAUCCCCUCCUGCAUUCAUAAUUACAUUCUGACUCACAUCGUAAUCACACUCGGAUCCCAGUCCUGCUUUGGAAAUUUCAUGGCUGCAAUGCACAGCACCCAUCUUCAGUUAAGCUAUGUGGAAUCAUUAUUGCCACAGCCAAGGAACCGUUUUUUCACCAUUUGAAUGCACCUGUUACUGCACCUGGACUCUUGGUUGCAAAAGUCUGGUGUAGAAUCCUCAACACCCUCUUUAAUAAACAGAGGUGCAAAAAAGGAACAUAGUUCUAGCAUCAAAUAGAUGUUGCCACUGUUCACUCUGAAAGAAAUAAUUGUGGGGUUUUUGGAGCUUAGCAAUAGAACACGUAUGCUGUAUCUGUAAGAGGGACAAGAUUACCUACACUUAUAAUAGAACAAGAAAAAUCAAUUUUACUCCCAAACUCUGUGUAUUUUAUGCGAAGUGCAUCAAACACAUGAUUUGGGGUAUGCUUCAAACAGAAAUUCCCAGCUUUUUACAGAAUUCAUCCUCAACAAACUGUGAGAAUAUAUCUCAGGAAUUUAGAGGAGGAUGCACGGCCAAUAGCAUAUGCUUGGAACAUUAAUUAAAGUUAGAAAUAAGGGAAAAGGACCCACUAAAAAUCUUAAUCUGUUACACUAUGGAGUAUAUGUGUUGGGAUCAUUGUCCCCUAACUUCAGGUAUCUCCACAAGGCAGGUUUCUGCAUGGGACAGUCACCCUUGGCUGGCACCAUAGGCAGAGGAACAAGCACAUGGUAUCAAACAAAGUCUACCCAGGGUAGCAGUGUUCCCACAGCAGAGAAAGAAGAGCUCCUAUUUGUUUUAAUGACUGGUUUACCUUGGAUUAUCAGUUGGCUUUCUUUAGUCUAUUGCAUUUAUCUCAAGUGAUUUAUUUUAGAGGGCUGCAAUUCAUACAGUACCAAGUUUGCUCUCCUUUACCUUCCCUCUUUCCUCUUCAUAAACCUUGCAAACAGUUAAGAGAUUUAUAGGGAACUACACCCAUGCCAGAGAAAAAGAACCCUUACCUGACAUAAGCUCCAUAGAUUUCAGCUAUUUUAAAUGAAAUACAAGUUAAUUACUAGUCCAUAUAUAAUAUCUUAAAGACACAUUUCUCUAAGAAAGCUUUAACUUGUGUGUGUUUAUGCUGUCCUCUCCUUUUCCCACCUAGAAAUCCAAAUGUCCUUGAACCAUGCUGAAACUGGAAACAUAGCCAAGCAGCACCUGCUGAGCCCUCUUGGGUCAAGUGCAAACCAUCAACAGUAUCCCUCAUUUCAGUAAUUGCCCCCUCAUCACUAUUAAAGCAUGAGAUUUUUCUUAUCUUCACAUUAAAAAUCCCAAAAUGAAAAAAAAUUCCCUUCCAGUGAGUAAGUCACCCCGACGUGCAGCAGCUACAAAUUUGGAAGCUGUUUCCCACUCUCACAUGCAACACCUCCAGCUUCUCAGCAUAAAGUCAAACAUCACCCUGCAGUCCCAGCUGCUUAAUCAGAGUGACUAGGAGAUGGUGUCCCCAUGCCUUGGUGGGACAGAUGGAGAAAGCCACGUGCCACCAGUGCGGGAGCCAUGCAAGGUGGUGCAUUUCCAUGCAUCUGCUGGAGCCAUCCUGCACACUGCUGACACAGCUCACCCCUGCGGCAUCUGAGAAGGCAACAACGCAGAGACAGUAAAAAACAACCCACUCUUAUUGCCUUCUGAAAACAAAUCAGCAGCUGAAAACAAACCAACAAUGGAAUCAACAUCAACAGGUGUCUGAAGAGCUGAAGAUGCAACACUUUGGCAGGAGACUAACAACAUUAACCUUAAUUUGGGGUAGAAUUAUACAUGUUUUGAGAAGUGGCUUUGAAUGCUUCAUUUCUUACCAAGGAAGCUUUUGCUACUGUGAAUUCUCUUGUCUGAGGUUAUAAUUAUUUGGGUUCAGAAAACGUGGGCUUCUUUCGUGAAAACUUGGUUGUAUUUCAAGGUGAAUAAAUAAAUCCUAAACCAAUUAUAUCUAUUAGCUACUCCAGUCAGAGAUGUUCAGAACAAUAUAAGCAAAGCUAAUAUAGGUAGUGGUAGGACAAGAUGUUUGUGUUUACCCUUAAAAGCAAGUUCUACAUACUGAGCACCAUCACCAAGGAGUUGCUUCGGGCAGAAGGAACGGGCUCAUGGGCAACUCCAGCCUGAUGUCAGGGAUCAGUCCAUGCAGAGCAGCCACCACACAGACCUCUUGAAUAUCUGCUGUCAGCCACAGGAGGGCAAAGCGAGCCCAACCAAACUAAAGAAACCACAGUAAAGCAGCCAAACCAAGGCAGGAUCACACCAAAGCAGUCAAACCAAGGCAGUGCUAAAGGGGAGAAGGUGUCAGGACCAACUAAAGGAAAUACAGACUAUUUCCAGACAUCCUCCAGACAAAAGGGUUUUUUCCACUUCUCAUUAGCAGCAGGAGCCAGCUCAGGAGAGGCCGUCAGGCAGCACAGAGAGGAGCAGCCUGGCAGGGCUGCUACUCACCAGCAAAGGGUCUUGGGGACCUGACUCCCCUUGUGCAAGCCAAGUCCCAACUGGCAGCUCUCUGCACACCAGAAAAUUAGGCCCAAAAACCUCAAUAGCUGUCAAUUGUUUGCCAAUCAGAGCACUGAGCACUGAUUUCAGAGUAAACUUAUUUGGCCAUCGCAGACACAGCGGCUAUUCAUAAUUCACCCUCAAUCAAAAACAAUUUUGUGAUUUGAAAGAGUACUCGUUUUUCAUAAAUGCUGGCAUCUCCCCAGCAAUCAGUGAACUCCCUGGCAGCCAGCCAGGCACAUCCACUGGUGGCAGCAGUAAUUCCUUCUCAUCAUAAUGUUUAUAUGUGCAUAGAUCUGAGCCAGGUGAAUUCACAAUAUGCAGUAGAAUGACAAAUGUAUCACAUACAACAAAGGGUUGAGAAGGUGACUUGGAAUAAUUUUUUGUCACUGGAUGAAACCAUGAUCCAAAUACACAGUUCUCAAGGUUUUUGAGCUCUCGAAUUUAUUGCUAGAUUUCUGCUAGACCUCAGCCUUUUUCUUUGUCCACAGAUUUGCUUCAGUUUUCAUUAAAUAGAUGAUAAAGGUAACUAGUGUAUGAUUUGUUUUGUAACUCAGUUGAAAACUUUUUAAACACUCUAGAAUUUUUUUAAAAAGUAAAUCUUGGGGUUUUUUCCUUAGAAAGAUAAGGCAGAUCAUUCCCAGCUUUGCUGCAGACCCUGUGGGAAAUAAAAGGUGCUUAUUCUAUGCACUUUUCAUCCUAGCUUAGAGCUGUUUUAUAUAGGUUUAUUUUUUUGGACACAUUCUCUUUUCUCACUAUCAAAAAAUCAGGUCUUGAAGGGAGAGGACCCAACAGAGCACAAAGGAUGCUCGGUGUUUUAAUUUAUUCCCUUGUGUGCUCACAUCAUGCAAAGGAAAAAGUACUUCAACACACAGGUGACCGUGACCAGAAAGACGUGAGGCUGCUUCCACCUUCACAGGUAGUGCACUUUAACUGAGGUGCACUCUUUUAAAUGUGCAUAUGUCAAACAACCAUGUCCAAAACAGCUUGGCUAAAAAUCCAUGGCUUUCAGUCUAAGAAAAACCAAUGUUUCAAAUGUAAAAGUCGUACAAAACAAAAAGACUUUUCAAAAUGAUCCUUUCACCCUGAGAUAUAUCCCAAAGAAGCAAAUUCAGGGGAAAACAUUCUUUCACGUCACUUUAAACAUGGGGCCAGCUGAGAACAGUUGCCAAUAGCACACCAAUAUCAUCAUCCUGUUUUCUUCCAAAGAAGUCAUGACCUCUAAAGCCAAAGAGCUUUAAAAAGGAGGGGUUAUAUAUCUUUUUUUUUUUUUUUUAGGCCAGUUGCACCACCCUGAUGAACACUCUCGUGCUUUCAGGCAAAUUUUAUUUAAUGAAAACAGUCUGAUUGCAAGACUGGAAGGUUGAGCACUAAGGAAAAUACUGCUCAUCAUAAGACUCCUUUGCAAGAGAACAGGAGUGAUAUUUUGAAGUGCAGAAGUCCUUAAACAUAGAGGCUGUGUUUCCUAUCUGUGCCAUUUGCCUGUUUGUGCAGGAAGCAUGUGCCUGGUUUCUCCCCUUGGGUGGCAGGCACUUGAGCUUUGCAUCUGAGAGCAGAAUUUGCAAUUUCCAGGUGUAUUUCAAAAGGAAUUUGAAAGAUUCUCUGCUUGUCUGAAGGUAUUUCAACCCCAUCUCUCAGGCAGGAACGGAACAGCUGCUACAUUAAAGGGAAAACCCACGCGUCAGAAGCAGAAAAGAGGAAGAUGUUAUAAGCAGACCUGAGCAAAAGGCAGCUUAUGAUUUAGUCAUGAGAAUGUAAUUAGGGGUGUAAGAGCACUGGAAUAUCCUAGAAGAUACUUUUCUUUGAGGCCUCCACCUUGGGAAGGCAAGAGGCUCUGCUGUAAAUAUGCACAGGAUCUAUGUCACCUCUUCUUUGUCACAGAUCCCUGCUAACUUCCAGGGCUCCUGCAAGGAGAUGGGCUGAAGCAGGACCUCAUGAAGGAAAGUGGUGCCACCAUGCUAGUGUCAAAUUAAAUCUGGAGAACAGUUCAAGUCGUAGGGAAGACUGACUUUUACAACACUUGGGAAAAGGUAUUGAGCCUGCGGUAGCCUGUCCUGAUACAUUCAGGUCUGCUGUUAAUUUGCCCCAGUUACAUCUUCCCAGGUGAGGAUUUUUAGCUCACAGUUCGGUGGGGCUGCAGGUAGACAGGAGAAAUGCCUAAGGCAAGAAUGGAAAGAAGGGAUGAGGCAGCAGCUGAAGAACAAGGGAAGUGCUAUUGGACUGUGGGGUGCAAGAAUGUGCAGGAAGGCAGAACAAAAGAGCAUUAUUUCAAAAUGAUGGGAGGGCCAGGAACGGCAGUCAGAGAUAACAGGAGUCAGCAGGGGAAGGAACUUGGGUCAGACAGAAGCAGGGGGACUUUGGCAUUGGAAAGUUUAAGUGACAAAGAGAGGUAGUGGGGGUUAGCAAAUAGAGGAAAAGAAGGGGAAGUCAGAGUCUCUUUAUAAAAAGGCUGUUUUGAGGAAGGUCAAGUUCUUUGCAUUUGGUGGGCGGAGGGGGGUGGAUAAGACAUAUAUUUUAAAAUCCUUGAACUGCUUUUCAGUCUUUUGUGUCAACUUAGGUUGAGUUAAUUCACUAUUUGCAUAUAACCAGCUUUUGCUGCUAGGUGGUCAUAUUUGCCAUUUUGAGUCUAAUUAAUCAUUAAGGAACCUAGAGCCUGUGUACCGACAUUUGAGAAAUUCAAUAUAUAAAGGCAGAUGUGCUUUGGUUUGUGUCUUGGUUGAAAACAGGCUUGCUAGGCAGGGACAGAUCUGACACCACCCUAAUGUUGCAUACUUAUAACCUUCAAACCUUGACAAUCUGGUUUCUUUAUAAGCAUUUCAUGUGUGCACUUCUAAGUCAAACUGUGUACUCAAAAUAUCUUCACUGAAACAUCUCAUCUAUUUGGUGGAGAAAUAGGUUUUAAAAAGCUAAAUACACUACAAAGGGUGUGAGGCAGUAAAAAUACUUCUCUAUCUGUACAUGCUUAACCAAGGAGCCUACGAUAGGUGCCUUCUCAGCCAGUCAUAGCCUGUGAGAUCGGCCUCUCCAGGGAAGGAUUCAGCAUCAGGGUCAGUUUUCUGAAUAUUUAGAACAGCAAACAGACUCUGGGGAAUGGUACAACUCAGGGACUGACAUCAGGGUAGAAAGCCUGCAGGUAUGGGUUCAGUCUGCCCAUUUUUACAUGGAGCAAAAUGUAGUGUCUGCUAAAGCAAGGUGUUCCCAAGGGGAUAGGAUGCAGUCGGUACAAGGUGGAGGAGGAGGAGGAGGAGGAGGUGCCUCAAACACAGCUGGACUCAGCCCAGCAGAAACCUCGAGGCAAUACCUCACAAUACCUUUCCCAAACUUUGGGCAAGUCAUAAAGUGUUUUGAAUAAACACUCAUUGGUCAUCUAAGCAGACAACAGGAAUUAAAAGGGUAAAAUUUGUAACAGAAAGGUCUGUGAAUUUCAAAACUCACAAUAAAAAAACUCAGUUCUUCCUGAGUGAAUCAGACAGAGGAAAUGAGGCACAUUUCUGUUUAACUCUGAUUUACUAGAGCUGCACUUUGCAUUUUUGCCAUUACUAUUAAAGUAAUAGUUUUGAUUGACAGGAUCUCAUUUUUAAUUAGCCAGAUCAACCAAGGCACAACAUCAGCAUUUCUGAAAGCAUCUGAAAAAGCAGCCUACUUCUGCAAGGAAAUCUUAUUUCCAUUUGAAGAUUAAAGGUUCUAGACAGCAGCAAUAUGUUUCUAUCUGCCAUUUCAAAAGGAAGACUUGAAAACAUCACGCUGUAGCACAUGAGAGAUUAAAAGAUACAGGGAGAUAUCUCACAACCAAUCCUGCUUCUCAUAGGUCUUUAUUCCUUAAUCCUGUCCAGCAACAGCCUUUAACAAGAACAGUAUAACUGCAUUAAUCAAGGAUUAUUAGCAAGAGAUCUUAAUGCAGCGUUUUUGCCCACCCAUCUCAGAUGCACUCCGUGUUUCACUGGAGAAUGCCAUCAUACCUGGAUUCAGCAACCAGAGAAUCACACACUAUUAAUUGAAGUGACCCAUCCUGCUUGGUGAGGCAGGUCAUGUGGUGGGCCAGAGCAGGACCUGCCCAGCCAGCAGAGGAGCUGGGGACAACAGCAAGGUCUCCUCCUGGCCUACAGCGACUGGAGAUCACCACCACUUUUUCCUGCAGCUUGACUUCAAUAGCAGCAGGAGAAAGCUGUCAUACCAUUCAAAACUGCUGUGCAGGGAAGGGCAGCUGGGAAGAGGAGGGAGAGCAUGAAUGACAGAGAUACCAGAGCAUGGUCUGCCUUAACUUUGCUCUUCCAUCCUAUCUGGGAAAGGCCUUGAUUAAUUCACAAACAUAGCAAAGCAACAACGUAGUAGAAAGGCUCUCUAAACCCCGUUAUCUCCACUGCUUCUAUCACCAGGAGUGUUCUUGCUGUUGGAGACAUUUUUAACCAAACAACAUUUUCCUGAAGCAUACUGCUCUUCCAGAAAACCUUUCUGCUAGCAGAUAUACUGCUUUCAAUUUAAACUACUUGGGAAAGCAGGUAGGGAGGCACACACACGUCCCAUGAGUUUUGCAGAUCAGCGCCACAGUGACUGAAGAGUACCUGAGUCUCCUAGUAGUUGCACCUACUGCUCUUGCACAUCAGGAGAAGCAGAAGCAAAAUGUGCAGUGUGCUGAGAACACGCCUAGCUAUUUUUACACCCAAGCCAGAUGUUUCCAUUUUUGAUGAAAACAGUCCAAAAGAAUUUUUUUUUUGUUUCAAUGUGAAACAGACACAGUCAAAAACCUAGAAACCCACAGCAAAGAGAAAUCAUCAUUCCCUGGACAGCUGUGACAGGGUGACUGCCAGCUACAGGACAUGGAAACAAACCCUUUUGGAAAAUAUUCCUGCAGCUAGACUGCACCACUUACAUUUCUCUCUCCUCAACUUCAUAGUCUCCUUACAUUAAGCACUGAGGGGCCUGAGCAUUAUUUUUUCCUACUGUUGGGUGGACCUGUGAACAGCUAUCCAUAGGGAUCCUUUUGGAACAAUAAGCUGAGCCAAAUAUUUCCAUGUAAUAAAUUUCGACUCCACAACCCCAAAGUUAAACACUGGAAACACUAGGACAGAUUUCCUCUGGCAGUGGAAGUCUUGAUGGCUUCAUGCUCCUGCACACCACUAACUCUGCCUCUCUGAUUUAUACCAGAUUUCCUAGACCUGCAACACAACCAUUUGCAAACCUUACAGGACAUGUUUACCCUCUGAUUGGCAAAGUAUGCAAUUGCACAUUCAGCGUGCAAGGACUUGUUAGACACCCAGCUUUGGUUUAAAUCCUCUUUUUCCUUUAUUUUUAGCAGCCAUAGCUGCUUUAGCUGACACCAGGGGCUUUGUCACUUCUGCUCAGCAUCAGCAAGGUUUUCACUUUCCAUCAUAACCACUUAAUGGCAUGCAGAAUAUAAAGACUAACAGUCUAAUUGCUUUGCUGUCCUCCCCGUGCAGCCUUUGUUCUCCAGGAGCUCCUUUUGAGCGAGCAGGCUCUCCCCUCCAGCUGCAGUAGCUGGGCUUGAGCGAGGCUGGGGAGCCACUGGCAGCAAACCCGGGGCUCUCACUGACAUGGUCAUUACCCUUGGGGGUUCACAGGCAAGGCCUGUCUAAAUGUCACCUCCCAGGCACAGCCCUGAGUGCCUCUGGAAGUGAUGAACACACUGUUUUAGUACUGGCCAGGCUACUUAGAGGGGUUAUAUUUAAGGUUCAGCCUUUCCUUACAGCUGGCAGUGUUCUGCUUUCCCUUCUCCGAUCCCACUAGACUAACAGGCAUGCUGCAAUCCUGGAAAAACUGCUCCAGAUUUCCAGAAACCGUAGCAAACUUGCACCACCUAUCGACACGACAGAGCCAUUGGUUUGGGGCCAGAAACCCGGCACAGCAAUCCAGCAGUGCUUCAUGAUACUGAUCAUUGUGCUCCCAGCAUCCUACAUUAUAAUGGGCCUCAAAAAAGCAGCACUGUUUGGCACAUGCCAGGGUGCACCUGACCCGACUGUAUCUUCUGCCCUCCCACACAUGCACCCAUCCCAGUACAGUGGGUAAGCCUGGAGGCCCCCGGGCUGCCCGAGGUGUGCUGUUGCUGCUUUGUGAACAACUGUGCUUUGCAGAGGAGGUCCUGUGCCUCCUCACCUCUGGCUCAGGCAUUACUGGAUUCCUUGUCACAAAGAGCCCUGGCCACAGAGAACUUCCUCUACUUGAAAUUAACUUUCUCCCUCCUUUCCAUUUAUUUCAAGAACUCAAAGACAACACCUUAUCCAAUUUAAUUUAUUCUUACUGCACAGGAAACUCUCAGCUUACCCCCUACCCUACUGACCCUGCAGGGAAGGGAUACCCAUCCCUUGUUACAGACACCCCUAGCACCACCACACCACUGAGCCUUUCCUGCACACCUCAUAGCAGGCACCGAGACAUUGCUAUCAUCAGAAAUACUACAUUAUAUAAAAUUUUCUCCCAUGUCAUCUGUCCUCUGUGUGCAGCAGAGAGCUACAGAUACCUGUCCUAGAUGGCGACAUCCGCGGUGACUUCUUUGAAUACCAGUCACAGCUAUGAGUGCUGAACAUGGCAGAGAGUUGGCACCAUGCCUGCCAGUGACCAAAGAAUGCUAUUUCUUCCUCACCUCUGAGCACCACUCCCUGCCCUCAGCUCAUGGUCUCUUCAGAGGAGGCACCUCAGUGACCUGACGACACAGCAGCCUCUCGAAGCACAGGGCUGGCGUGACCAAGACAGAUAUCAGCCCUGCCCAGGGCACAGAAGCUGGGAAGCUUUUCUUUUGUUUUUCCCUGGUGUGGGAAAGGAGAUGUCAAACACCCUCAGAACAAGAGCUCCAAAGGAAUACAGGGUUUCUGGCUAGGCUCUUCCCAGACAAUUUAGCUGCUAUUCAGCGUGCCCCACGUUUUGACCACAGAAAUGGUAUAUUAAUUCCCCUGCAAUGCACUGAGCUUCCUGCUGUGGGUAUUGUGGAUUUGCUUCAUAUUAUAACAAUUUUAACUUGCAGGCUUCAGCAUUACCAGCACACAUUACACUUCUACUCCUUUAAAGCUCUGUACCUGCUGGGGAAAGCUGGUUUUAUUCCCAUUUUCCCCAUUAUGCCUGGCCCAUGCUCCACUUCCUACCUGCUCUGAAUUCUUUUCCAAUAAUCAAAUCAAGGCAAUGGUGUCAGCAUUUUCAGAUUAGGUCCAGAUAUCUAUGACCCUCAGGGAUUAAUUUCAUCUUAUUCAUAAGAGGAACACAGGGGAAAGAGCUACCACAUGAACACUCAGGAUUUGAACAGCACCUCCCGUUCUUCGUCAUGAAUCCAUUUCUCAAAUACACACAUUAAGUUACAUCAAUUCCUCUGAAGAUAAAGAAACAGGCAAUACCAACCAGAUGAGAAUUUGUCCAAAAACAAUAAAAUGCACGGUGCAGAGGGCAAAGACAAGGUGCUGUUUGCUUCUUUUGGUGCUGGCAACCAGAGAGGGGAUGUGAUGGUGCCAUUUCAUAAGUGCUUCAAUGGCUUCAACUCAGUUACCUCAAACUCAGAAAUUCUACUUUUUAGGGCAUUCUGAUGCUUAGCAAUUAGGUGGAACUUCCUUUCCUGAUUGAAAUAACACACAAAUCCUUCCAGGACAGUCAGCACUUGGGGAAAAAAACAUUGACUUGGGAAAAUUUGGGAGCUUAGAUUUCAAAGUUUAAGUUUGAAUUUUAUUAAGGUGUAAAACUGCUUCAAACCUGUAUCAAUUAGGAGGCAGUUUCCUGAAGAAAGCCAGAAGUACAAUCCAGUUCUAGUCAGCACAAUGUCCAGUUGCCUCUAAUGACCUUUAAUAUAAGAGAGACUAUUUCAGUGUUUAUGUUACACUGAUGAAUCACAAUAAGGUACAAUACAAGGGAUGCAAAAUUUGGAAACUACUUUUUCUGGCAGUUUUCAAAGACAGAUGGAGAAACACUCCUUCACAACAGAGAUUGUUCAAAUAAAUGAAUAAAUAAAUUAUUAAAUAAAAAGCUGUUUCAACCUUGCUGGCCUGAUCUACUAUGAUCUAUCAAAUCUUUGAGAGACCUCAAGCAGCUUACUUGUGUAUUUUAUAUACUUACACCCCAGGUAUAUUAGUCAGCACUUGGAAGAGAAAUUGGUGGCAUCCAGAGGCCAAUUUAUUUCCUUUUGCAAAAGAUUCAGCUUCAUACCAGCUUUGAUGCUCAGUUUUACAUAGUGCAGCAUCUGCCAAAUGACAGCAAUCUCCAAGCACAGAUCACCACCUUGACUGGGAUAAAGCAAGCACCAAAGAACUGCAGUGAUCCAGAAAGUGCUCACCAACUCACAUGAGGGAUGAAGGAGCUUUCUCAGCUGCCUGGUCACACAGACCUCCUGGGAAUGUCAGGAGGUGAAGGAACGAAAGGAGAAGCCUUUGGACAGACACACUGCCAUAUCAGUGCCAGAUCAAACCUGGCUAUCCUGGAUCUGCAGAGUCCCAAGAGAAAAGCAACAGCUGCAGGAGAUGAGGGGUAUCAUUUUGCUUUCGCAGCCAGAUUGUCACCUUGGUUCCAAGAACAUUAACUGCACUACUGCAAUGUCCCACCCUCGGGGGAAGGGAGCACCCCAGAUUCGCAGGUGCUGGUGACCAAAAGGAACAACAGAAGUCAGAGGGUCUGCAAAAGUUUACAAAGUUUUUUUAGUAAAUUACACACUCAGCAUGGAAACUGGUACAAUAGUCCCUGACCUCCUAUAUAAGCACACAGCAGUAGGCUUUGGGUAAAGGGAUAGGGUGAAAGGGAAAGAGAAAGAGAGAGAUUAAUUAAAGAGGAGGAGAGAGAAAGAAAGGAAGAAAGAGAGAAAUAGAGAUCACCAGCACUGGCUCCAGCAUCGAUCCAGCUGAUAGGGUGUCCAGAGUCCCAGGGUACCUUUUCAUAGAUAGGCUUUUCCUGCCCUGGAGAUUAGUUUCUUACUUUCUGUGCAAAUUAGUUGUCAUACACAGUUUAUUUUUCUAGGUAACAAGUCAGAGGGCUUUGGGGGUCUCUGGUGGUCUUCAUCCCUCCUACAGUCCACGCCCACUUCUUGAACUUGUUCCUGCACUUGUGCUGGACUGUGUUGUGUUUAUCUCCAGAAGCCAGAAAAAGAAUGUUUGUCCCAGGAAAAGCACUGCCCUACCUCCACGUCUCUCUUCUCUAGCCACAUCCUGUUCUUUCUCACAGUGUGUUAUUACCAACAAUCCUUGGCUGUUAUGACCAACAAUCCUUUGUCAGCUCCACAGCUAUCUGGCUAUCAGUGUUUGAACAUACACAUUAGCCCCUUAUCUUCAGGGCUUCUGCAACCUCUGAACACUCAUAUAUCCAAAUUAAAAGUGAAACUAGACCCUUAUAUCCUCUGACCAAUGUUCACCCUAUGGCAGUGUCCCUCACUUAAAGCAGUAUUGCAUUUAUUCACAAUAAACACAAUAUUCACAGGGCAAAUUCCAAAUCUGUUAAUUAUUCCAACAUAAAUUCUUCCCACAGCUUUAAACAGAGUCAAUACUCUUUAUUUUCUGCCCAUAAAUACACUGUGUUUUAAAGAUUUGCUGCCUGCUACCCCAAAGUGAAGCUGAAGAGAUAUAUGCAAAUUAUUCUGAAAGGCCUCUGUGCUCCUAAGAGGAAAUAUGCUCAACUUCAGAAUCUUACAAUCAUUAACAAAUUCAUACAGGAAUAAACUGGUCCAUACUACUCUAAUAGAUGCCUAGAACAGAUGAACAGGCUUGCAUAAAAUUAUAUCCAAAAUUUCACUUAAUAUUUAAUUUCAACCUCUGACAUGAGAAAUAACUAUCCCACUGGUGCCUCACUUCCCAUGCACACAACCAAAUGCCUCUGGACUUCUUAUUUUUGCAGUGGAAGCAAACCAGGAGGCAGCCAACACAAUCAACCAAGAAUCAACCUAAUUUGUCUCCACAGUCAGAACACACAUACUCGAGACAGUCCUCGAAACCCCAGUACCUGCACAGCUGUGUGCUAUCUACACAUCAGCUCUUGUUUCACUCUAAGUACAAAAUAUUUAAAGACACAGUAAAGUGCCACAGAUGUGCAAAGUUUAAGAGUGCUUCAAUAGAGAGUGACAACUAAAAUAAAUCCCUCUGCAUAAAAUCA